AUGCUGUUUGAGUUCCUGCUCGAUGCAGUCGACAGGUUCCCGCUGCAUGAGGAGUUCACCGACAGUUUUGAGCACUCAGAUCCAGUACCUCUAGGCUUGUUGCGGAACAGCGAAGCCGACCAUGCCGUUCCUGCGGACUCCAAUCCUGGGUCUGGUUGCGGUCAAAUAAAUCGGCGGCGACGGCCAGAUGAGAUGGUUUUCGCCGGUGUCCGGAUGCAUCUCCGACUAGGUCGGCGCAAUCGACUGCCAGAGUCAACCGAGAAGCCCUUGGUUGGACAAAAAGUACAUGAUGAUUGUUAUCAAAAGUUCAGUGCCCAUGGCAUUGGGAGGUACCCAGGAGCCUGCAGCCUACGGUGGGCUGGUGGAGGGCUGAACCCUGAUGUGAACAAGAAGCUGAACGCCGACAUUGCUUCCAUCCUGGAGUCAAAGUUGUCCAUCCCCAAGUUCCCGCUUCUACCUCAAGUUCAGGAUUCAAAGCACUCGGACUUUGGAUGGAACUGA
This 501-nucleotide ribosomal RNA is filed under the name Triticum aestivum (bread wheat). RNAcentral describes it as "partial small subunit ribosomal RNA". Lineage: Eukaryota; Viridiplantae; Streptophyta; Magnoliopsida; Poales; Poaceae. The record is from RNAcentral.